GGCUUCGGUAGUGAUGGCCCAGACUCUCCUCGCUUUGUCUGUGGCCUGAGAGGUGAACGCAGGUGUGGCGUCUGAUUGGUUAACUUCAGGCAGGUAAGGUUGACACGUUAAGAAUAAGGUUGCUGGGGUAGGCAGGUCAGGUCAGGUCAGGUCAAGAAGAGGUCAGGGAGGUGUUGAUUUUUUUCUCCUUUUGAUCUCUAUUGCUUCGUAGUUCCUCCUCCUAUUGUUCCUCUUCAGCUUAUUCACACACUUUGAAAUGGACAAUGGAGGGUGGGCAGGUCAGGUCAGGUCAAGAAGAGGUCAGGGAGGUGUUGAUUUCUUCUCCUAUUGAUCUCUAUCGCUUCGUAGGCCCUCCUCCUAUUGGUCCUCUGCUUAUUCACACACACUGCUCCUUAAUUACACUAUUCUGCUUAUCUCUCGUGUGGGUAAGGUCACUGUAGGAGGUCAGGUCAAGAAGAGGUCAGGGAGGUGUUGAUUUCUUCUCCUAUUGAUCUCUAUCGCUUCGUAGGCCCUCCUCCUAUUGGUCCUCUGCUUAUUCACACACACUACUCCUUAAUUACACUAUUCUGCCUCUUGUGUGGGUAAGGUUACUGGUAGGAGGUCAGGUCAAGAGGUCAGGGAGGUGUUGAUUUAUCUCCUUUUGAUCUCUAUCGCUUCGUAGGCCCUCCUGCUAUUGGUCCUCUGCUUAUUCACCCACACUGCUCCUUAAUUACACUGUUCUGCUUAUCUCUCGUGUGUGUAAGGUCACUGGUAUGAGGUCAGGUCAAGAUGAGGUCAGGGAGGUGUUGAUUUCUUCUCCUAUUGAUCUCUAUCGCUUCGUAGGCCCUCCUCCUAUUGGUCCUCUGCUUAUUCACACACACUGCUCCUUAAUUACACUGUUCUGCCUCUCGUGUGACCAAGGAAAUC
Molecule: long non-coding RNA, 906 nt
Organism: Eriocheir sinensis (Chinese mitten crab)
Lineage: Eukaryota; Metazoa; Arthropoda; Malacostraca; Decapoda; Varunidae
Exons: 3
Source: RefSeq, a predicted model, not a curated record